Long non-coding RNA from Oncorhynchus tshawytscha (Chinook salmon), 456 nucleotides. RefSeq lists it as uncharacterized. The transcript has 3 exons. NCBI's taxonomy places the organism in Eukaryota, Metazoa, Chordata, Actinopteri, Salmoniformes, Salmonidae. The record is from RefSeq and is a predicted model, not a curated record.
UGUUUUGUUCUUGCUAAGUUUCACUUUAUAAUAAAUAUGUGGAACUCAACAUCCGCUGCGCCUUCCGUCUCUCCUCACGUACGUGACAUCUAUAAACCUCUAACAAAACUGAAUUUGUCUGCUUUGGGGAAUAUAGCCAUCAUCGCUUCAACAAGAGCAAUCUUCGUGAGUCAUACUGCACCCCUUGUUGCAUGGGAGAACAUUCUGGAAACAGUGUCACCCAUCUUCCCCAUUAUCACCUGUGUUUUCUGUCUGUUGCCAGUUCGUCUUGUUUGUUCAAGCGUGCCAGCAUUUUGUCUAAGCACCUGGUUAUCCCUAGUCUCUCUUUUCUCGUACUCCUGGUUUUUGACCUUUGCCUGUCCUGACCCUGUACCCACCCGCCUGCCUGACCGCUGCCUGACUGCCGUCCUGUACUCUAGAUUAUCGACCCCUGCCUGCCUUGACCUGUCGUUUGCC